UGGGGAAUAUUGCACAAUGGGCGCAAGCCUGAUGCAGCCAUGCCACGUGUAUGAAGAAGGCCUUCGGGUUGUAAAGUACUUUCAGUCGGGAGGAAGGUGUCAAGGUUAAUAACCUUGGCAAUUGACGUUACCGACAGAAGAAGCACCGGCUAACUCCGUGCCAGCAGCCGCGGUAAUACGGAGGGUGCAAGCGUUAAUCGGACUUACUGGGCGUAAAGCGCACGCAGGCGGUUGAUUGAGUCAGAUGUGAAAUCCCCGGGCUUAACCAGGGAAUUGCAUCUGAUACUGGUCAGCUAGAGUCUUGUAGAGGGGGGUAGAAUUCCAUGUGUAGCGGUGAAAUGCGUAGAGAUGUGGAGGAAGACCGGUGGCGAAGGCGGCCCCCUGGACAAAGACUGACGCUCAGGUGCGAAAGCGUGGGGAGCAAACAGG
RNAcentral lists this ribosomal RNA (429 nucleotides) under Chloroflexota bacterium. Its description in RNAcentral is "Chloroflexi bacterium partial 16S ribosomal RNA". It matches the Rfam family "Bacterial small subunit ribosomal RNA", at positions 355 to 776 of the family's 1533-position model. Lineage: Bacteria; Bacillati; Chloroflexota. The record is from RNAcentral.